GUGAACAUGUUGAGAGGAACUAGUAGCAAGACGUUCUAUCUUUAGAGAGCCGAUGGUUGGUGAAAAUCGGUGAUAGAUGCCUGUGAAUCCAUCCUUGAAUGAAUUGUUGAACAACUUCUAGUUAAAGUAGACAAUUCCGGUGAUGACCGUUAUUCAUUAAGGUGAAAAAUACUAUGUAUUUUUAACUAGGGUGGCAACGCGGGUAACUCUCGUCCCUUUU
RNAcentral lists this non-coding RNA (220 nucleotides) under Metabacillus harenarius. RNAcentral's name for it is "Bacillus weihaiensis T-box sequence". It matches the Rfam family "T-box leader". From Rfam's summary of the family: Uncharged tRNA acts as the effector for transcription antitermination of genes in the T-box leader family. T-boxes are found upstream of many aminoacyl-tRNA synthetase genes and some amino acid biosynthetic genes usually in Gram-positive bacteria. The anticodon of a specific tRNA base pairs to a specifier sequence within the T-box motif, and the NCCA acceptor tail of the tRNA base pairs to a conserved bulge in the T-box antiterminator hairpin. The record is from RNAcentral. Lineage: Bacteria; Bacillati; Bacillota; Bacilli; Caryophanales; Bacillaceae.